Medicago truncatula (barrel medic) is the source of this 727-nucleotide long non-coding RNA. RefSeq lists it as uncharacterized. The record is from RefSeq and is a predicted model, not a curated record. The transcript has 6 exons. Lineage: Eukaryota; Viridiplantae; Streptophyta; Magnoliopsida; Fabales; Fabaceae.
AGAACCCUGCAACAAAAGUUGUUCCAUCUAAAAAUGGAAGUGCACCUGUAAAGAAAGCUGAUCCUUAUUAUUCAUCUUCUGAAGAAUCUUUUGAUGAAGAUGAGAAACCUGCUGCAGAGGUUGUUCCUUCCAAAAUAGGGAGUGCACCCGCAAAGAAGGCUGAUAGUUCUGACUUAGAAUCUGACGAAUCUUCUGAUGAAGAUGAGCCUAAUACUCCAGCUACAAAAAAAUUUAACAGUCGUGUGAAGACAUUAUAUGUUGGGAACUUAUCCUUCAGUGUGCAAAAAUCUGACAUAGAAAACUUCUUCCGAGUUUGUGGAGAGGUUGUUGAUGUACGUCUUGCGUCUUGUGAGGAUGGAAAGCUCAAAGGCUUUGGACAUGUUGAGUUUGCAACUGCAGAGGCAGCCCAAUACAUACGCUCUUGACAUCUUUUCAACUUGUGGAUUUUAUGAAAACUCUUGUUGAUUGUGUCGAAGGCUUUCAGAGAUCAAAAUGACUAUUACUUUUUUUAAUAUUAGGCACUUCAAAUGAAUGGGCAAGAACUAUUGCAACGUGCUGUCCGACUUGAUUUAGCUCGGGAGAGGAGUGCAUAUACUCCUAAUAAUAACAGGCGUGCAGGAUUCUAUAAACCAGGCCUAUACAAAGGGAAAAAGACUACUUUUGCCGACGACUAGGGUGGCAGUCUUGUUGCUUAGUUUUGGUGAUUUAGUAUCUGUGAAGAUCUUGU